Molecule: ribosomal RNA, 467 nt
Filed under: uncultured bacterium
Lineage: Bacteria
Description: partial 16S ribosomal RNA
Rfam family: Bacterial small subunit ribosomal RNA
Source: RNAcentral
GACGAACGCUGGCGGCGUGCUUAACACAUGCAAGUCGAACGGAAAGGCCCUGCUUUUGUGGGGUGCUCGAGUGGCGACGGGUGAGUAACACGUGAGUAACCUGCCCUUGACUUUGGGAUAACUUCAGGAAACUGGGGCUAAUACCGGAUAGGAGCUCCUGCUGCAUGGUGGGGGUUGGAAAGUUUCGGCGGUUGGGGAUGGACUCGCGGCUUAUCAGCUUGUUGGUGGGGUAGUGGCUUACCAAGGCUUUGACGGGUAGCCGGCCUGAGAGGGUGACCGGCCACCUUGGGACUGAGAUACGGCCCAGACUCCUACGGGAGGCAGCAGUGGGGAAUAUUGCACAAUGGGCGGAAGCCUGAUGCAGCAACGCCGCGUGCGGGAUGACGGCCUUCGGGUUGUAAACCGCUUUCGCCUGUGACGAAGCGUGAGUGACGGUAAUGGGUAAAGAAGCACCGGCUAACUACGUG